RNAcentral lists this ribosomal RNA (412 nucleotides) under Nostoc sp. HG1. RNAcentral's name for it is "bacterial SSU rRNA". It matches the Rfam family "Bacterial small subunit ribosomal RNA", at positions 259 to 667 of the family's 1533-position model. Lineage: Bacteria; Bacillati; Cyanobacteriota; Cyanophyceae; Nostocales; Nostocaceae. The record is from RNAcentral.
AACGGCCCACCAAGGCGACGAUGACUAGGGGAUCUGAGAGGAUGGCCCCCCACACUGGUACUGAGACACGGACCAGACUCCUACGGGAGGCAGCAGUAAGGAAUAUUGGUCAAUGGGCGCAAGCCUGAACCAGCCAUGCCGCGUGCAGGAAGACGGCCCUACGGGUUGUAAACUGCUUUUGUACCGGAAUAAACCCCCGGAUGUAUCCGGGGUUGAACGUACGGUAAGAAUAAGGAUCGGCUAACUCCGUGCCAGCAGCCGCGGUAAUACGGAAGGGUGCAAGCGUUGUCCGGAUUUAUUGGGUUUAAAGGGUGCGUAGGUGGGUGCUUAAGUCUGGUUUGAAAGCCAGGUGGCUCAACCAUCUGAUGGUGGCUGGAAACUGGGCGCUUGAAUGGGUUGGCGGUGCCGGAAC